GUUUAACAUAUUGAGUUCAGUUGAGGGCAGCUUCCCUGUUCUGUUAAUUAAACUUUGGGUCAUUGAAACUGGCUAAUGGGAAAAAAAUAAAAAUCAAUGAAA
Molecule: small nucleolar RNA, 102 nt
Organism: Mus musculus (house mouse)
Lineage: Eukaryota; Metazoa; Chordata; Mammalia; Rodentia; Muridae
Source: RefSeq, a predicted model, not a curated record